AAGAAGAGCAGGAAGAGGAAAAGGCCAUAUGACCCAGGAGAAGGCCCAAGGAUCAAACGGAGGAGAAGCUGGCCAUAGUGACAUUUGUACUUCACUUAACUAUUUUCAUUAUAUUAUUUAGUAUUAUUUGCUUAAUUUAUGAUUGCGUAGGAAUGAGAUAUAUAAAAACUUGUGCGAACCUA
Long non-coding RNA from Hemicordylus capensis (graceful crag lizard), 182 nucleotides. RefSeq lists it as uncharacterized. The record is from RefSeq and is a predicted model, not a curated record. The transcript has 2 exons. NCBI's taxonomy places the organism in Eukaryota, Metazoa, Chordata, Lepidosauria, Squamata, Cordylidae.